This 848-nucleotide long non-coding RNA is filed under the name Gossypium barbadense (sea-island cotton). RNAcentral describes it as "long non-coding RNA (GBAR_LNC011029)". The record is from RNAcentral. Lineage: Eukaryota; Viridiplantae; Streptophyta; Magnoliopsida; Malvales; Malvaceae.
AGAAAGGCAUUUGUGAACUUCAAUAAUUUUAUAUGCAUAAAAAGAGGUGCUAAUUUAUCUAUUUGCUUUUUACUUUUAAAUCAUAAUAAUAACUUGACAAUUGCAAUUUAAUUCUAAAAAAUCAUUGAUGUGGAGAGUGAGGCCUAUGAGGCCUUCAAAAUGGUUGUACUAUAUGCUCUGCUUUGUUCGUUUAAGCACUUACCUAUGCUAUUGGAGGCAUUCAAAUUACAAUAUUCAUUGAUGCGGGGGUCUCUUUUAGCUCUUUGGAAUUCCAGCUAAAUUUGUUAUUGAAGGUCAAAACAGGAAAAAAAGGAAGAUGCUUCAAAAUAUUUGGUGGUGAGGUUGAAGUUGAUAAAAUGUUUCAUUAUUUAUAUAUCAACAGCAUUAUACUAAACACACAUAUGUGCAAAUAUAAGGAUGAUAAUGGUAAGCACUUUAGUUUUGAGGUGUAAAUAAAUAAUGGGAUUUGUAACAUAUUCUAUGUUGGCAUUUAUAAUUUUCAGGUUCAGGUUCAUUGUUGCUUUUGGAUGAGUCGUUGUUCAAGCAUGACAAUUGCCAGACAUAUUGCAUUUGAAAAUUUAUUAUUCCACUUUACACAGAGCUUAUUAAGGGCUUGAUCCAUAGUAGGAACACCGUCUGAGUGUUGAAUGUUGAUUUUCACUUGCAUAGCUAAAAUGAGUUGGGAGAGAAUUUACUUAAUUGUACAAAAGUGAGAUUGCAUCAAGUGUUUGAGGGGUUAAGGUUAAAUCAUGUCUUUGCACUAUUAAGUUCAAAGUGGAUUCAUCUAUGGGCAAAGUCCCACAGACGUAGGAUAAAUUCCGAACUGCAUAAACAUCUUAAUUGUGCUC